This 71-nucleotide transfer RNA is filed under the name Elusimicrobiota bacterium. RNAcentral's name for it is "Elusimicrobia bacterium (hot springs metagenome) tRNA-Gly". It matches the Rfam family "tRNA". Rfam says of the family: Transfer RNA (tRNA) molecules are approximately 80 nucleotides in length. Their secondary structure includes four short double-helical elements and three loops (D, anti-codon, and T loops). Further hydrogen bonds mediate the characteristic L-shaped molecular structure. tRNAs have two regions of fundamental functional importance: the anti-codon, which is responsible for specific mRNA codon recognition, and the 3' end, to which the tRNAs corresponding amino acid is attached (by aminoacyl-tRNA synthetases). tRNAs cope with the degeneracy of the genetic code in two manners: having more than one tRNA (with a specific anti-codon) for a particular amino acid; and 'wobble' base-pairing, i.e. permitting non-standard base-pairing at the 3rd anti-codon position. Lineage: Bacteria; Pseudomonadati; Elusimicrobiota. The record is from RNAcentral.
GCGGGCGUAGUUCAAUGGUAGAACUCCUGCCUUCCAAGCAGAGAACGUGGGUUCGAUUCCCAUCGCCCGCU